AUGAGGAGGGCCAUGAACGACGCUAGAUCUAGCAUAGCAAAAGGGCAAUGUGUUCACUUUUUUUUUACCCCGCAAAAAAUAAAGUUGAUAGUUUUGGAUUGCCUAAGAGAGUUGGAUAUCCCAGUGCAACGAGUCCGUGCUGCUGUCCGGUUUAUCAGAAACUCUCCAUCUGGAAUUACCCAAUUUAAGAAGUGUGCUGUCUUGGAGAAGGUGGACAGCAAAGCAUUCUUAUCACUUGAUGUAUGCACCAGAUGGAACAUGGAACUCCACAUACCUAAUGUUGAAUCUGCGGCCACCUAUGAGAAGGUGUUUGAUAGGUAUGGCGAUGAUGAUCCUUACUUUGCAGUUGAGUUAAAUAGUGAGAAAGCACCACGAGUUCCUGAAGCUGUAGAUUGGGACUAUGCAAGGAAGAUUUCGGAGGUUCUUGAGCAUUUUUAUAACCUCACUGUUUGUGUUUCGGCCUCUAAUCAUUCAGAGGGAGUAGUACAGUACUAUAUUGUUUUUGCUUGCGUUGAACCCUCUUUUGUUUUAGAUUGA
This 537-nucleotide ribosomal RNA is filed under the name Triticum aestivum (bread wheat). RNAcentral's name for it is "partial small subunit ribosomal RNA". The record is from RNAcentral. Lineage: Eukaryota; Viridiplantae; Streptophyta; Magnoliopsida; Poales; Poaceae.